Molecule: ribosomal RNA, 542 nt
Filed under: uncultured bacterium
Lineage: Bacteria
Description: bacterial SSU rRNA
Rfam family: Bacterial small subunit ribosomal RNA
Source: RNAcentral
GAGGAAUAUUGGUCAAUGGGCGAGAGCCUGAACCAGCCAAGUAGCGUGCAGGAAGACGGCCCUAUGGGUUGUAAACUGCUUUUAUGUGGGGAUAAAGUGAGCUACGUGUAGUUUAUUGCAGGUACCACAUGAAUAAGGACCGGCUAAUUCCGUGCCAGCAGCCGCGGUAAUACGGAAGGUCCAGGCGUUAUCCGGAUUUAUUGGGUUUAAAGGGAGCGUAGGCCGUGGAUUAAGCGUGUUGUGAAAUGUAGACGCUCAACGUCUGAAUUGCAGCGCGAGCUGGUUCACUUGAGUAUGCACAACGUAGGCGGAAUUCGUCGUGUAGCGGUGAAAUGCUUAGAUAUGACGAAGAACUCCGAUUGCGAAGGCAGCUGACGGGAGCACAACUGACGCUGAAGCUCGAAGGUGCGGGUAUCAAACAGGAUUAGAUACCCUGGUAGUCCGCACAGUAAACGAUGGAUGCCCGUUGUUAGUUCACUUAAGAAUUAGCGACCAAGCGAAAGCAUUAAGCAUCCCACCUGGGGAGUACGCCGGCAACGGUG